CUCUCUCUCCUCCUCUUUCUCCUCCUCUCCCUCUCCUUCCUCUCUUUCCUCCUCUCCCUCUCCUCUCUCUCCUCCCUCUCUUCUCCUCUCCCUCUUCUCCCUCUCUCUCCUCCUCUUUCUCCUCCUCUCCCUCUCCUUCCUCUCUUUCCUCCUCUCCCUCUCCUCUCUCUCUCUCUCCUCCCUCUCUCAUCUCCUCUCCCUCUUCUCCCUCUCUCUCCUCCUCUCCCUCUCCUUCUCUCCCUCUCCUCCCUCUCUCUCCUCCUCUCCCUCUCCUCCUCUCCCUCUCCUCCCCUUUCUCCUCCUCUCCCUCUCCUUCCUCUCUUUCCUCCUCUCCCUCUCCUCUCUCUCCUCCCUCUCUCUUCUCUCCCUCUUCUCCCUCUCUCUCCUCCUCUUUCUCCUCCUCUCCCUCUCCUUCCUCUCUUUCCUCCUCUCCCUCUCCUCUCUCUCUCUCUCCUCCCUCUCUCAUCUCCUCUCCCUCUUCUCCCUCUCUCUCCUCCUCUCCCUCUCCUCCUCUCCAUCUCCUCCCUCUCUCUCCUCCACUCCCUCUCCUCCCUCUCUCUCCUCCACUCCCUCUCCUCCCUCUCUCUCCUCCCUCUCUCUCCUCCACUCCCUCUCCUCCUCUCUCUCUCUCUCCUCCCUCUCUCUCCUCCUCUCCCUCUCCUCCCUCGACCCUGACAGACAGACAGCUAUCUCAGGGGGAGACAACCCUCCCUCCCUCACAUUACUAUUACCAUUAAAACAUUUCCCACUCCCCCCUCACCAUUUUUCUCAUCUCUCGUGGAAUAGCCUGUUGUGACUGACCACUGGAGGAGACUGGGACUACUGCAGCACGACAAACACGCAAACACACACACACGCAAACACAGACACACGCAAACACACUCAAAGACCGGUUUUCCAUCCUUUCCUCUCUUUCCUCAAUGUUCCUGAAAAAUUAGGAAACUGCUCAGGGAUCUGGGAAACCCCUCUCUUGCGGUGGUGAGGAUUUAUUAAUGGCAUUCAUUUGAUUGGACCAUCCUCAUUUUGUACUGAUGAAUCAGUGUUUUAAAAGGAUCUGUACAGGUUUGUGUCAUUAGGGAAUAGAGGCAGUGGACUCAUCUAGCUUCUCUCAAUAGAUGUUCUGAGAAUGAGUAGGCUAGGCUACACAGUGUUACUGAGGUAACCACUUGGGCUGAUUGUCCUGAUGAUAGAACUAACAUUGAUGAUUGUCUUGAUGAUAGAACUAACAUAUUGAUGAUUGUCUUGAUGAUAGAACUAACAUAUUGAUGAUUGUCUUGAUGAUAGAACUAACAUAUUGAGUGUGUCUUGAUGAUAGAACUAACAUAUUGAUGAUUGUCUUGAUGAUAGAACUAACAUUGAUGGUUGUCUUGACGAUAGAACUAACAUAUUGACGGUGGUCUUGACUACUACAGUGUAUCUCUGGAUGCGUAGAGAGAGUUAAAUGGGUGUAGAUUAGAAUGCACAUACACGUCAACAGAGGUAGAGAAGGGAGUCUGGCCUUCAGUCUGGAGCGGUGCCUGUUUUAAACGGGCUCUCCCCUUGACAAAAGUGUCAUUGAUUAGCCAAGUAUUGACCCAGUCCUAUAGAACACCAAUGGCGUCUAGCAAGGUGUUAAAUGUGUCUAUGCAUAAAGAGAAAACAGAUACAUAGCCUUUCAGUGCCAAAGACUCGGUCUGCAUCCCAAAUGGCACCCUAUUCCAUAUUUAGUGCACUACUUUUGACCAGAACCCCGGUCAUAUGUAGUGCACUAUAUAGGGAAAAGGGUGCCAAUAAAGACGCAGCCUCUCUCCACUCACAGGUCAGCCUCAGCUCUAUGGUUACAUGUCUAGUGUAGUAGGAUAGACAUGCAAUGGCAUGGAUCAGCCCUUUCUCCUGCUUUUGCCUUUGUCCCGAAAAUGUUGCAGUUUAUUGUGUGUGAAUGUACUGUAACUAUGCCCUCUAUUGAAUGUGUUAGUCAGUACAGCUUUGUCUUAUAUCCUCUACUCUACUGAACCCAGCCAAACUGAGGUGAGCUCUACUGCGCUGGCCUACUGGAAUUAUGCUGGAAACAUUUGAUGAACUAACGCAGUAUGGUUCAGAUUGGCACGAUAGUGUGAAAAGGCUGUGAGAGAGAGAGAGAGAGAGAGACAGAGAGAGAGAUGGAAAAAGUACCCAAUUAUCAUACCUGAGUAAAAGUAUAGAUACCUUAAUAGAAAGUUACUCAAGUAAAAGUGAAAGUCACCCAGUAAAAUACUACUUGAGUAAAAGUCUUAAAGUAUUUGGUUCUAAAUACACUUAAGUAGUCUUAAAGUAAAUGUAAUUGCUAAAAUAUACUUAAGUAUCAAAAGUAAAAGUAUGAAUCAUUUCAAAUUCCUUAUAUAAAUCAAGAACAGACGGCACUAUUUUCUUGUUUUUAAAAUGUACGGAUAGCCAGGGGUACACAUUAACACUCAGACAUCAUUUACAAACGAUGCAUAUGUGUUUAGUGAGUCAGCCAGAUCUGAGGCAGUAGGGAUGACCAGGGAUGUUCUCUUGAUAAGUGCGUGAAUUGGACCAUUUUCCUGUCCUGCUAAGCACUCAACAUGCAACAAGUACUUUUGGGUGUCAGAGAAAAUGUAUGUAGUAAAAACUACAUUAUUUUCUUUAGGAAUGUAGUGAAGUAAAAGUACCCCAAAAAACUACUUAAGUAGUACUUUAAAUUAUUUUUACUUAAGUACUUUACACCACUGGUCAUUCUGAACGGAAUACGAUUAUUAUUUAGAGUUAGAAUGCUUUACUGGAAACGGCACUGAAAAUGUCUCUGAACUCUGGCUGCUCUGGCGCAGGAUAAAGGCAGUGGUCCGGGCGUUAAGCCACAGAAUAGGAAUGCUGCCUUCUUGUCCUUUUUGUUACUGGACAGAAUAACAAGUGGCUUUACUAGCUUGGUGGCGUUUCUUAGUGAAAACAGUUUCUGGCUUUACUGGCUGAAGUAGCUGGGUUCUCCAGUACUCUCACUGGGCACAGACGUCAAUUUAACGUCUAUUCAACGUAAUUUCAUUGAAAUGACAUGCAAACAGCGUUGAUACAACCAGUGUGGCCACAGUGGGAUGUGUAUACUAUUCUAUGUGCUUUACAGCCAGCUCUACUGACUUGCGUCGUCACGGCAUGCCAUACAUUGUUAGUCGAGUUUGGCAUGACAACGGACACGACCAAGGAGUCAGGCUGAGGCUCAAACACGUCUGCUACCAGCAGGCUAGCUUCAAAAGGUCUUUUCACAUUGCGUGUGGUUAUCCCAAGUCUAUACUUAACCCCAGACGCUCUUAGUCCUGGGCUAGAAACGCUAGAGCAGGGGUUCUCAAAGUGGGGUCUGCAGACCCCUGGGAAGGGGAAAACUGAAAACUAGCUGUUAUUGGCAGAGAGGUUUGGAACUCUCUUUCUUAUUGGUCUAUUAACUAAUUUAUUGCUAGAACAAAACACCAUCCCAUCAAAACAUGCUGAAAUUUUAGGUGGACUUUUCAACAGCUCUUACAGCAUUAUCAUAAUUUUCCCAAUUUCACAGUAUUAUUCCAACCUCAUAGUGUGGAAAUAUAUAAAUAUAAUGUUUGACUGCACUGGGCCUUUAAAACAGCAAAGUUGUACAUGCCUCAUUACAAAAUGUGUAGAAUUGCAGGAAAUGUGCUUGAAAACUGCAACAUUUUCUCUCUGAUGCCAAGAGGCGAGCUUUAAAUUGUUCCUUUCCCUGGCCAGAGACUUGGUUCAUCCAGCCAUGCACUGCUGAAGUCAUGGUAAGACUGGAGUAAAACUGGAGUUGUUCUGUUGAAUUUCCUUUUUUUUCUCUUGCACUAAUUGAACAUGAUUAAUGAAGACUGAGGAACAUAUUUAUUUCAUGAGUCUCUGGUGACUUACGCUGUUAUGUUUCUAUUUCCGUGGAGUAUUUGCCACAAAUAGUAACAUAACAUAGUUUUAAAUUGAAAGGAAGCCAAGUCUGAAUAUCAAAAGAAGCAGGGUGGGAUAUUUAUAAAAGAGAUGAUUUGUAGGCAGCGCUCUGAGAAUCCCUUAGAAGAGAGAGAGAGAGAGACAGAGACAAGGCCCCAGGUGGUUCUGAUGUUUACUGAUGAUUACAUUGUAACCAUAUCUUUCUCUCCCUCUCUCUCCCUUUAUAUGUCAUUCUCUCUCCCUCUCUCUCCAUUUAUCUCUCUCUCUCUCUCUCUCUCUCGGUCAUGGUCUCCCCCUCUCUCUCCCUUCAUAUGUCACUCUCUCUCCCUCUCUCUCCAUUUAUGUCUCUCUCUCUCGGUCUUGGUCUCUCCCUUCAUAUGUCACUCUCUCUCCCUCUCUCUCCAUUUAUGUCUAUCUCUCUCUCUCUCUCUCUCUCUCUCUCUCGGUCUCUCUCCCUUCAUAUGUCACUCUCUCUCCAUUUAUCUCUCUCUCUCUUGGUCUUGGUGUCUCCUCUGUGCAGCGUGUUCUUCUAUUAGAGAGAGAGAGAGAGAGAGAGAGAGAGAGAGAGAGAGAGAGAGAGAGAGAGAGAGAAAGAGAGAGAGAACCCAAUUGUCAUACUUGAGUAAAAGUAUAGAUACCUUAAUAGAGAGAGCGAGAGAGUUGUGCAAUUUCAUUGAGAGAAAUGUACCGCAAAGUACUACGUGCAGAGAAUACAGUCACAAGCAGUUAGGCUGUCAUUCUAACCACACACAGAGACACUGAAACAACACACACACACACACACACACACACACACACACACACACACACACACACACACACACACACACACACACACACACACACACACAUGGACACACACGGACACACACACACGGACACACACAUGCGCACGCACACGGAUAUGCACAGUCCGACACGUAGGUCUCUGAACACCUACGCAAUCCCACAUGCAUGUACUGUGUGUGUUCAGCUGUGUGUGUUCUGCUGUGUGUGUUCUGCUGUGUGUGUUCAGCUGUGUGUGAUCAGCUGUUUGUGUUCAGCUGUGUGCUUGCUUGUGAGGGGAAAAUCUCGUUAUGUAAUCAUAUAUACAGUACGUAGUAGUACUUGAUGUGAUACUUGAAUAGCACUUAGGUCGUGUUCAUUAGGGCACACUGUAGCAUAAGAUUUUACAACGGAAUAUGAAAACUAACGUUUCUCAUUGGAUAAGUUCAGGUACUUCCACACUACUUGGGUCUGUUUUCUUCCGUUCGGUGCCUAAUGAACACGUCCCUGGUAUGAGGUGAUGUGAUGUAAAGAUGGAAUGAUGAUUAUGCUGCAAAAGAGAAGAGAGAAAAAGAGGGACAUUACCUCUACUCCGGGUGAGGGAUGUCUUUAACAAAUAGUGGACAGCCAUGUCUGUCUGCUGAAACCAAUGCUGUUUAUUUGUCACUAGUGACAGAAAAUGUGUCUGUCUGCCCAUUAUGAAUAUUCUAUGGUGAAUACAACUGUAUUUAUAUUUGGAUAUUUAUACUCUAUAUCUGAACGUGUAUAUUUUAAUUGUUGUAGUACCCCUUUCCCGCAGUUAAAUGACCUAGUGGCCUCAUGGGUGGAAUGUUAUUCAUAUUUUUCAUAAUUUCAUAAUUAAUAAACAUUAUUUUUUUAAACCCACCGAAAAUCUGGUGUUUCUAUGUCAAACAGUUUUGUUAUAUUUCACUCUUCUGUGAUGUAUAUGAAGUGUAAUAUUGGGAUUCAAACAUUUCCUAUCUGGCAUCUUCUUUUUUUGUUGUUGCCCAUAACCUUGUGUGUGAG
RNAcentral lists this long non-coding RNA (5685 nucleotides) under Salmo salar (Atlantic salmon). RNAcentral's name for it is "lncRNA (ENSSSAG00000118526.1)". Lineage: Eukaryota; Metazoa; Chordata; Actinopteri; Salmoniformes; Salmonidae. The record is from RNAcentral.